GACGAACGCUGGCGGUGUGCUUAACACAUGCAAGUCGAACGGUAAGGCCCUUUCGGGGGUACACGAGUGGCGAACGGGUGAGUAACACGUGAGUAACCUGCCCUCAUCUCUGGGAUAACAGUCGGAAACGGUUGCUAAUACUGGAUAUGAGCCUGCAAGGCAUCUUGUGGGUUGGAAAGAUUUUUUGGUUGGGGAUGGACUCGCGGCCUAUCAGCUUGUUGGUGAGGUAGUGGCUCACCAAGGCUUCGACGGGUAGCCGGCCUGAGAGGGCGACCGGCCACAUUGGGACUGAGAUACGGCCCAAACUCCUACGGGAGGCAGCAGUGGGAAAUAUUGCACAAUGGACGGAAGUCUGAUGCAGCAACGCCGCGGGCGGGAUGACGGCCUUCGGGUUGUAAACCGCUUUCAAUUGUGACGAAGCUUUUUGUGACGGUAGCAGUAGAAGAAGCACCGGCUAACUACGUG
Molecule: ribosomal RNA, 465 nt
Filed under: uncultured bacterium
Lineage: Bacteria
Description: partial 16S ribosomal RNA
Rfam family: Bacterial small subunit ribosomal RNA
Source: RNAcentral